RNAcentral lists this ribosomal RNA (119 nucleotides) under Pteropus alecto (black flying fox). Lineage: Eukaryota; Metazoa; Chordata; Mammalia; Chiroptera; Pteropodidae. The record is from RNAcentral.
GUCUACGGCCAUGCCACCCUGAACAAGCUUGAUCCCAUCUGAUCUCGGAAGCUAAGCAGGGUCGGGCCUGGUUAGUACUUAGAUGGGAGACCACCUAGGAAGACCAGGUGCUGUAGGCG